This 494-nucleotide ribosomal RNA is filed under the name uncultured bacterium. RNAcentral describes it as "partial 16S ribosomal RNA". It matches the Rfam family "Bacterial small subunit ribosomal RNA", at positions 28 to 506 of the family's 1533-position model. The record is from RNAcentral.
GACGAACGCUGGCGGCGUGCCUAAUACAUGCAAGUAGAACGCUGAAGGAGGAGCUUGCUCUUCUGGAUGAGUUGCGAACGGGUGAGUAACGCGUAGGUAACCUGCCUGGUAGCGGGGGAUAACUAUUGGAAACGAUAGCUAAUACCGCAUAACAGUAGAUGUUGCAUGACAUUUGCUUAAAAGGUGCAAUUGCACCACUACCAGAUGGACCUGCGUUGUAUUAGCUAGUUGGUGGGGUAACGGCUCACCAAGGCGACGAUACAUAGCCGACCUGAGAGGGUGAUCGGCCACACUGGGACUGAGCCACGGCCCAGACUCCUACGGGAGGCAGCAGUAGGGAAUCUUCGGCAAUGGACGGAAGUCUGACCGAGCAACGCCGCGUGAGUGAAGAAGGUUUUCGGAUCGUAAAGCUCUGUUGUAAGAGAAGAACGAGUGUGAGAGUGGAAAGUUCACACUGUGACGGUAUCUUACCAGAAAGGGACGGCUAAUUACGU